This 418-nucleotide ribosomal RNA is filed under the name uncultured Glomeromycotina. RNAcentral describes it as "SSU rRNA". It matches the Rfam family "Eukaryotic small subunit ribosomal RNA", at positions 676 to 1092 of the family's 1831-position model. The record is from RNAcentral. Lineage: Eukaryota; Fungi; Glomeromycota.
AUGUACUAGCUUGCUGAUUCCUCCUUCUUGUAGAACCGUAAUGCCAUUAAUUUGGUGUUGCGGGGAAACAGGACUGUUACUUUGAAAAAAUUAGAGUGUUUAAAGCAGGCUAGCGCCUGAAUACAUUAGCAUGGAAUAAUGAAAUAGGACGUUCGAACCUAUUUUGUUGGUUUCUAGGAUUGACGUAAUGAUUAAUAGGGAUAGUUGGGGGCAUUAGUAUUCAAUUGUCAGAGGUGAAAUUCUUGGAUUUAUUGAAGACUGACUACUGCGAAAGCAUUUGCCAAGGAUGUUUUCAUUAAUCAAGAACGAAAGUUAGGGGAUCGAAGACGAUCAGAUACCGUCGUAGUCUUAACCAUAAACUAUGCCGACUAGGGAUCGGGUGAUGUUAAUUUUUUAAUGACCCAUUCGGCGCCUUACG